GAUGAACGCUGGCGGCGUGUCUAAGGCAUGCAAGUCGAACGGUAGCACAGAGGAGCUUGCUCCUCGGGUGACGAGUGGCGGACGGGUGAGUAAUGUCUGGGGAUCUGCCCGAUAGAGGGGGAUAACCACUGGUAACGGUGGCUAAUACCGCAUAACGUCGCAAGACCAAAGAGGGGGACCUUCGGGCCUCUCACUAUCGGAUGAACCCAGAUGGGAUUAGCUAGUAGGCGGGGUAACGGCCCACCUAGGCGACGAUCCCUAGCUGGUCUGAGAGGAUGACCAGCCACACUGGAACUGAGACACGGUCCAGACUCCUACGGGAGGCAGCAGUGGGGAAUAUUGCACAAUGGGCGCAAGCCUGAUGCAGCCAUGCCGCGUGUAUGAAGAAGGCCUUCGGGUUGUAAAGUACUUUCAGCGGGGAGGAAGGCGAUGUGGUUAAUAACCGCGUCGAUUGACGUUACCCGCAGAAGAAGCACCGGCUAACUCCGUGCCAGCCGCCGCGGUAA
Molecule: ribosomal RNA, 506 nt
Filed under: uncultured bacterium
Lineage: Bacteria
Description: partial 16S ribosomal RNA
Rfam family: Bacterial small subunit ribosomal RNA
Source: RNAcentral